Molecule: long non-coding RNA, 334 nt
Organism: Cotesia glomerata
Lineage: Eukaryota; Metazoa; Arthropoda; Insecta; Hymenoptera; Braconidae
Exons: 3
Source: RefSeq, a predicted model, not a curated record
AAAUAAUGAUUGAUUACUAUAAACGAAAAAAAAUUACAGGUAAUGGAGUAUCCAGUAAUUGGAAUAGUACUUGUUGGUGCAGUUCGAAAUUUAUUGGAAUCUUCAGACGAAGAUGAUUCUAGCGAUGAUGAAGAUUUCAUCUAUUGUUUUGGAAAUCGUACAGGACAAGUAUGAGGCGCGAAACUUUUUGAAUUUCUUAUAAAUUUACUCGGACCCGACUUACAAAAACAAUCUGUCCACUUUGGCAGACAUCCUAUUUCUGUCGAAAAACAGCUUCUUCUGAGUAUUUGGACCAUGGCAACACCAGAUUCUUACAGAUCAGUAUGUGAUCGUU